RNA transcript from Egretta garzetta (little egret), 3077 nucleotides. It is a transcript of the gene named microtubule interacting and trafficking domain containing 1, with no coding region annotated. NCBI's taxonomy places the organism in Eukaryota, Metazoa, Chordata, Aves, Pelecaniformes, Ardeidae. The transcript is spliced from 9 exons. The record is from RefSeq and is a predicted model, not a curated record.
UAUGAUUCUAUUCUAUGAUUCACAGCCACGAAAGACGAGGCAAAAAAGCACCGUUACCGGCAGAAAAUAUCCGAGUACAUGACCAGAGCUGAAGACAUUAAAAAACACAUUGAAAAAGAGAAACAAGAUGGCAAAUACCAUAAGCAAAUCAGGAUAGAGGAAAAUGCAACAGGUUUCAGCUACGAAAAGCUUUUCCGAGAGUACCUUACUGAGAUUGUUUCUGAAGUUUGGGUGGAGGACCCAUACAUUAGGCAUGUUCAUCAGUUGUAUAACUUCCUACGAUUCUGCGAGAUGCUAGUUAAGGGGCCGUGCAAAGUGAAAACAAUCCACCUCCUCACUUCCUGGGAUGAAGGUAGUGGGAGGAGUCAGCAGAUAAGUGGCUUGGAAGAAAUACAACAAUCGUUGAAGAAUUAUGGAGUAACACUGGAUAUUGCAUAUUCGUCUUCGAUACAUGAUCGAGAAAUUAGAUUCAACAAUGGAUGGAUGAUUAAGAUUGGAAGGGGUCUUGAUUAUUUUAAGAAACCACAGGGUCGUUUCAGCAUUGGAUACUGUGACUUUGACUUGCGACCUUGUCAUGAAACAACAGUGGAUGUCUUUCAUACUAAACAUACAAAGAAAAUGUGAUCAGAUAUGACUGCUUUCAAUGAGUGUUUUUAUAAGCAUAAAAAUGUAAGACUGGAAGAUGCUGCUUGAAUCCAGCUGUCCACCCUCAGAAGCAACUCUCCUAGGUACUUAGUCCAGCACAGCUUUUAUAAUCUAUAGGUUUAAGAACAUAUGAGACACUUAGCACAACCGUACAAUUCCUCCACUGUACUUCUCCCAUAAUCUUAAUUAAUACAAUCCAGGUCUAAAUUUGGUCUUGAUUUCAUAACGGACCGUCAACACUGUCUCUCAAAAGCCUCUUUACUGUCAUUUCCAUUUUCACUAUUAAUUUUUUCUUGAGCAGAUUUUGUUUUCCAUAUCUUUAAUUGACCACCUUACAAAUGUUAGAAGCUGGGCUGCCACGUGUCCUCUUUUAUAAGCAGCCUUAUUUAUUUCCUUGAAUUCCCGUGUUCUAGUCAUGACUACUAUUGUGCUGUGGUUUGGUCAAUCCCAUAAUACCCGAAUUCACAGGCUUUGCUAGCAACCCCAAAUCUAACAUUCCAUUAUCCAAGCUCCUUGCAUACAAGCACUGUAGUGUUCAAUAUACAGAUGUUUUAGGGUUGUCUUAUGUGUCUUUGCAUGAUGGAUUUGGGGCUGGAAAGGAUGCAAACAGCUGUAUUCUUUCCCCUGUCUCUCCUAUACAUUCUUUUAUUCUGUGAUGUAUGGUCAUAUACCUGAUUUCCAUCCUUUGCUUUAGGUGUGAAAAGGUGUACGAUCCUCUCCCAAUCUUUUCCCCUGAAUUCCAAGUUUAAUGUCCUUCCAGCUAGUUCUGCCCAUCUGAACUGCAGUAAGCUAUUUCCCUGCUGCUAAGAUAGUCCCCUAAAAAAUAAUUAAUUUUUAAAUUCUUCUGGAAGUUGGAUACCCUGAAACUUUCUUGUUAAUAAUGAUUCUAACGAAUAUGCUAAUUGGAAAAAAGACAAAAUCUUUUCUUGUCUUCCCAUCAUCCUUUGGAAAGCACAAGGUAUCACCUGAGCUGCUGCUCCUCCUUCUCCUAAUACAAGAGUCCUUGAUCAUUGUCAGCAAGAAUCAAGCAAAGUCAUAUAUUCUGAUAUGAAGAUCUGGCAGCGGCCUCAUUUGCAGGUCCCAUCAAAAUCUUUUCUGCAUCAGAACUGACAGUUUUAGUCAUCUGUUUGAAUUCUUCUCUGCACUACAAAGGAUAAUUGAAGGAAGCUGGGUAAUGCCUUAUAGAUCAGCCAUGUUUGGGAGAAGGUUCACUGUAAGUACAGUAAGCUUCCCAAAUGUAAAGCUUUGUAUCUUUUAACCUAGCCCAGCAAUUUCAAGUGUACAGGGGCAAAAUAAAAAGCCACCUUCAAUAUAAAUAAAUAAAUAUAAAAAAAAUUUAAUGCUUUCUGCAUGUUGUAAUACAAUAUGCCUCUCUGUUCUAGUAGUAAGCCCCUAUGAUACGGUCCUCUACAGAUAACCACAAGAGGCAAGCACGGUCUUCCGUCUUGCCUGUUUGCUGCUAGAACUUUUUCUCUGUUUUCUAACUAGACUGUAGUUCGCCAGCUAAGACUGCAGAUUUCCUUGUAGAUCUCAUGGAUAUGCAGUAUCUGUACACAUGUACAACUGAGUCUUCAGUGACAUCCCAGUUGGCGCUGCACUGCAAUCUUUACCUACAAGCCCUUAAUCUCUGAGUAGUUCUUUUCACUGUCAGUAGGAAGACCAGGUAUGAAGAGGAAUGGGCAUCAAUGAAUGGGAAAAGAAAACCCAACUUAUCAGAGCAAUCUAAGAAUACAGUUCCACGAUCGUUUUACUGACUCCAGGCCAUGUUCUUCUGUGCUGCCACUGGCACUUAACAUAGUCAGGUCAUCACCAGGACUGUCCCUCCUGGCAUCAUCAGUGGAGAUCAGCCUAAGCCACUUUCCCAGCUGGAGUCAGCUGGUGUCGUCCAGUCCUCCUGGCCGAGGGCUGGAUUCACCCCCACUGACUGCUCUCCUUAGCUACAGCAAUAAACCGCUGCUGUUUUGACCUGAUCAAAACUGCAUUCCAGUUAUGCCGUGACAGAAUUUGGUGCUGUGACUUGGAUUCACACAUCCUGCUCCGCCUGGGAGGACCACAGACUGAUCCCUGCCAAAACCUCCUUGGUGCCACUUUGACAGUGGCUGCCAAGAGAAGACUUUAUGGACUUCGUGUUCGAGAAGCAGAACUGAGAUAGAAGGAUACAAGUAUGCUAACCUGUGGGAAACAAUGGACUUUCAGCUGGUCAGACAAAUGAGGAAUUGUGAACAUCAUGGAAAACUCUUUAUGCAAUUAUUAUAGAAAGUUAUAAAAAAAUAAUAUGCCUGUGAAUUGUGACAGGACUGAGAAGGAAUGUACCGGCAGAGGAACUGAGAACUUUCUACUGACGAAGAAGAAUAGAGGAAUUGAGAAUGCAGUGGAGACUUACCGUAGACUUUGUCUAUUAUGUAAUCAUGUUGAAAAGGUAUAUAAGGUGU